This 728-nucleotide ribosomal RNA is filed under the name uncultured soil bacterium. Its description in RNAcentral is "bacterial SSU rRNA". It matches the Rfam family "Bacterial small subunit ribosomal RNA", at positions 49 to 755 of the family's 1533-position model. The record is from RNAcentral.
UCAGACAUGCAAGUCGAACGCGAAAGUCCCCUUCGGGGGACAAGUAGAGUGGCGCACGGGUGAGUAACACGUAGGUAAUCUACCUUUGGAUGGGGAAUAACAACCGGAAACGGUUGCUAAUACCGCAUAAUGCAGCGGCACCUAAUGGUGACAGUUGUUAAAGCGGGGGAUCGAAAGACCUCGCGUCUGAAGAGGAGCCUGCGGCGGAUUAGCUAGUUGGUAAGGUAAUGGCUUACCAAGGCUACGAUCCGUAACCGGCCUGAGAGGGCGGUCGGUCACACUGACACUGACAUACGGGUCAGACUCCUACGGGAGGCAGCAGUCGGGAAUUUUGGGCAAUGGGCGAAAGCCUGACCCAGCAACGCCGCGUGAAGGAUGAAAUCCCUCGGGAUGUAAACUUCGCAAGAACGGGAAGAAUAAGUAGGGGACAAUACCCCCUAUGAUGACGGUACCGUUUGUAAGCUCCGGCUAACUCCGUGCCAGCAGCCGCGGUAAUACGGGGGGAGCAAGCGUUGUUCGGAUUUACUGGGCGUAAAGGGCGCGUAGGCGGCCAGCACAAGUCAAUUGUGAAAUCUCCGAGCUUAACUCGGAAAGGUCAACUGAUACUGUGCGGCUAGAGUGCGGAAGGGGCAACUGGAAUUCUUGGUGUAGCGGUGAAAUGCGUAGAUAUCAAGAGGAACACCUGCGGCGAAGGCGGGUUGCUGGGCCGACACUGACGCUGAGGCGCG